GGUCACGAAGACCGAAGACACGAAGUCACGAACAGAAUUCACAGGUCCUUGAGUCCUUCGCUGAUUUGCUGCAUCUCGCACAUCGUAGGAGGAUUACAAUCGAAGUCACAAAACUCACGAACUCACAAAGAUUCGCAGAAGGAUUAUUGGAUUAACUCACAGAUUCCGGCAUUCCGCAUUCGGCAAUCGGCUCCGGCUGUCCGCCUCCUCUCAUCGGCCAUCGCAGAUUUGCAGGAGUGAUGACGAAACCAAAAUUCAAAAAACAAGCUUUAAUUGGGAACUUUUUCUAAACUGAGUGGGCUGAACGCUGAAGUCGCUGAACAACAAGGAUACCAAGUCGCUGAACACGGGCUGAAGGUGUCGCUGAUGAUCAUUGAUCGCUGCUGAUUGCUGAAACAGUUCAGAACAAUAAUCAUCGAACAGGCUGAAGUCGCUACUGUUGUGCUGAUUGUGAGUUAUCAUAUCUAUAUCUUGGUUGGGCAAUGUAGAUGGCAAUUGGAUUGUUUUGAGAGUUUCUCUACACCUUUUUCAACUGCUAUUGCGGCCAUGGUAAAUAUGGAAGAAGGCGAAUCCCAUUACUAUAAUUUUGAGCCUUUGUUCAUGUUAUUAGUUUGACCGAUUUCAUUUUGCUUUUGAUUGGGUUGACAAAUUUCUUUUGGGGGUUCAUCAUAUGUAUGCCAACUGUCGUCAGUGGAUGUUUGUAAGUACUCUUUUGAUUAGUUUUUGAUUUAUUUGGUCGAUGAUGGUAAGCGCAACCUUAUGUCAGACUUUUGUUUGCUGCGUUUCUUUCUAUUGCGUUGGUUGGUUUACAUUACUUUUUUUUCUUCUUGAUUUGUAUGUCAAUUUCUACAACCUGGGUUUGUAAGGGCUUAUGUUACGUUAAUGCUUUAAGCUUACAUUUUAUUAGUUUAACUUUUUAUGACUGUGUUUUGUGACAUGAUAUUAAUUACCAAAUUUGACACUAACACAAUGGAUAAAUACAUUGCCAAGUAUUUCAAGAGUGGUUGUCAACGUGUUGCUACAUAUAGGUAUGAUAUCGUUCUGCUUAAAAUAAAGCAUUCUUAGUUAAGCUUUUUACUUCACAUGGUUGAUAAGGUUAUUGUUUUUUGUUGCACUUAUACCGAUGUCUAAGCUACCCCUUUCUUUGCCUUUUACACAAUAGGUUGUUACACCUUAUGUAGAAGUUUCUUUCUUUCGUUCUUGACUGCCGACUUGAGUAUGUAUUUCAGAUUUAGACGUGUAUCGUGGAUGCAUGGGCCAGAGUUGAUGGUCAACAGACACACAAUUCCAAGACAACCUUAAGGUAUAGGUAUGAGGCUGCUUUUUUAAGGGAUUACCGAUAGUGUCCAAUGAUCAAUGCUUCUGAUCCAUUAAGGCUGGGAAAGACUCUUUAAUGGCUCAUAAGGCUUUAGACAAUUUAGUUAUAACAAACUCAGUAUACGCUUCAUCUUGCUAAUAUGUGAUGGAUGAUAUAUUGGAUUCGCACGAUUAUAUUGCUACUAGUGAUAUAACCCAACAGGUAUAGAUUGGAAGAAACACAAUAGCAUGAUUAACCUACAAUGCAUAGUCAGGUGAAAAUACGAUAGCAUCACUAACCCAAGACAAGAUUCGCAUUUUAUGACUUCAAGUGGAAUAUAGUGCAAGGAAACACGGAAGUUUCACUAACACACAAUGCAGGGUCAAGUGAAAACGCGCUAGCAUCAAUAACUCAAAACAAGAUUCACAUUUUUCAACUUCAAGUGGAAGUCAAAGAUAAUAUGUUGUAUCUGGAAAUAGUAUUUUUAUGUUACACAAAAAAUCGAUUGGUUUGCUUAUUUUUGUAAAGCUAUUGCGCUUAUGGUUAUAAUAGGAUUUUCUUUUAGGAUGAAAUUUUGUAUAAAUCUGUUACAUUAGAAAGACGUACAUUUCAUAGUUGCUUU
This 1919-nucleotide long non-coding RNA is filed under the name Helianthus annuus (common sunflower). Its description in RNAcentral is "hypothetical non coding rna". Lineage: Eukaryota; Viridiplantae; Streptophyta; Magnoliopsida; Asterales; Asteraceae. The record is from RNAcentral.